GGAGCAUUUGGUAUCUCAGUGGUAGAGUACAUGCUUUGUAUGUAUGAUGUCCUGGCUUCAAACCCCACCUUCUCCC
RNAcentral lists this transfer RNA (76 nucleotides) under Dallia pectoralis (Alaska blackfish). RNAcentral's name for it is "tRNA-OTHER". The record is from RNAcentral. Lineage: Eukaryota; Metazoa; Chordata; Actinopteri; Esociformes; Umbridae.